CCAAUCUCGGGCGCACGUGCUCGAUCCAACGUCCAGAAGGGGCCCAGGGGUGGACGGGAUUUCAAAUACCGUCCACCCCCGGUCGGUAUUCGGGGUGCCGUCCGCCCCCGCUGCAUGCCGUGACUCGCCGGCGAGCCCCCGUGUCCCGGAGCUGCUGGACGGUCCUGACUCCGGCGACCUCGAUUCCGGCGAGGAGGACGGUGGCGGACGAGCGGCAGCAGGAGCGCACCUCGACCAGGGGGCAUAUGCAAAGUACACAUGCCAAUUCCUGAUGCAAUCGCCAGCGUACCAACCUACCAGGUGUUCGCUACUUUGCCUACAAGAGGGAGGCCAGGGGUGGGUGUUGAUCUCACCUUCAUGCAGUGUAUGGGCAGCGGAGUUUUUUGUGGACGGCAUCAAAUCCUUUUCAAGAUCAGUCAGCUACAGUUAAGAGGAGCGUUCUGAUCUGCACCCUUUGGUGCAUAUAGAAAUGUCGCAAUGCCAAGGUUUUCAGAAGUGAGGAUGCUACAAAGCUGAGGACAAGGAUUGGUUAUUAGAGUGGAGCAAUUUUUUCCCAUGUGCCUUUUUUUUUGCUUUAAGGUCCUUUUGCCUUCUGCUCUUGCUUCUUAUUUCCCUCGUGUACUCUCUCUGAUCAGGUUUUUCCUGAUUUUUAAGUGUUUGUAAAUUAUUGUUUUUUUUACAAUAAAAGCUCAGGCAACCUUCAAUGGC
Molecule: long non-coding RNA, 708 nt
Organism: Panicum virgatum (switchgrass)
Lineage: Eukaryota; Viridiplantae; Streptophyta; Magnoliopsida; Poales; Poaceae
Exons: 3
Source: RefSeq, a predicted model, not a curated record